GAUGAACGCUGGCGGCGUGCCUAAUACAUGCAAGUCGAGCGAACAGACGAGGAGCUUGCUCCUCUGACGUUAGCGGCGGACGGGUGAGUAACACGUGGAUAACCUACCUAUAAGACUGGGAUAACUUCGGGAAACCGGAGCUAAUACCGGAUAAUAUAUUGAACCGCAUGGUUCAAUAGUGAAAGACGGUUUUGCUGUCACUUAUAGAUGGAUCCGCGCCGCAUUAGCUAGUUGGUAAGGUAACGGCUUACCAAGGCAACGAUGCGUAGCCGACCUGAGAGGGUGAUCGGCCACACUGGAACUGGGACGCGGUCCAGGCUCCUACGGGAGGCAGCAGUAGGGAAUCUUCCGCAAUGGGCGAAAGCCUGACGGAGCAACGCCGCGUGAGUGAUGAAGGUCUUCGGAUCGUAAAACUCUGUUAUUAGGGAAGAACAAAUGUGUAAGUAACUAUGCACGUCUUGACGGUACCUAAUCAGAAAGCCACGGCUAACUACGUG
RNAcentral lists this ribosomal RNA (497 nucleotides) under uncultured bacterium. RNAcentral describes it as "partial 16S ribosomal RNA". It matches the Rfam family "Bacterial small subunit ribosomal RNA", at positions 28 to 507 of the family's 1533-position model. The record is from RNAcentral.